Molecule: ribosomal RNA, 133 nt
Filed under: uncultured bacterium
Lineage: Bacteria
Description: partial 16S ribosomal RNA
Source: RNAcentral
GGGUACCGUCAGGCCUAACGUGUAUUAUACGUUAGGAGGUUCUUCCCCUCUGACAGAGCUUUACGACCCAAGAGCCUUCAUCACUCACGCGGUAUUGCCGCGUCAGGCUUUCGCCCAUUGCGCAAAAUUCCCC